ACGGUAAAGACGACAUAACGAUUAGCUUAGUUUGUUACAACAAAGAGAUUAAAAACAUAAAAUAGGCCGGAAAAUUCAAAAGUUCAAAAACUACACAAGGCCCAAGCCCAACUUCAACAACAGAGAAAGAAACAUACCCGACCUGACUUCACCAAAAAACUCGACGAAUGAAGCAAUCGCUUAACGAUCAGCGUAUACAGAGUUCUGAUCAACAAUGGCCGCCACAACGUCCUUGGAUUCCUUCAGAAGCUUGAGACUAUUCUUCAGCUUCUCCCUCUUGCUCGCCACCGACGGUGAUUCCUCCAGCAUCCUAUCUAUUCCUCCGCCAGCUCUUGGAUCCACCAUCUCCGCCACAAUCUCCUUCUGAAACUGACUGUUGACCAGAUUCUUCACAGAGAAUUGAAGGUAGAGAGCAAGGUUAUCGACAACCCUUCGCAAUACGAUCGUCCAGUAAGAUGUGAUCCUCAUCUUCAUAUCAAACGCUUGUUGCAGCAAAUGAGCGUGAUACUUUCGCAGAUGCGAGAUCUUCACAUCCCCGAAUCCAGGUAAAGCAAAAUUCUCAGGUUUAUUCUCAUCGUGCAACACAGAAUUGAUGAAGUUUUGCUGUGAGGUUGUCUUCUGAGUCCAAGAAGUCAUGUAAUCUGGGUUACAUGUGUAAUCGGUAAGCUUCUCCAUCUCAACGAUCUCAAUUACUCAGUUCACGGAACGUUCCUUAGUCCUGCUCAUUAGAUUACGACCAGCCCUUUUGAUGGAGGAUUGAAUCUGGGGAAAGUUGUCAGAAUAUGUCGUAAUGACUGAUGACAGAACGACUUCAAUGUAGUCCCAUAUCUCCUUGAUGAACUCAACUGGCUUGUCUUGUAUCCCAUCCACAUGUUGUGAAAGGAUUGCUAAGAAAGAAGAUCUUGGUAUAAAAUUAGGCAAUCCGAUACAUUUGCGCUCUUCUAAGACUUUGAUUUCAUCCAUCAAGAACUCUUCUGUCACGGCUUGAGGCUGUGCCUGCAGAUUGUCUGAGAAUCGGUUUAACAUUUCAGCCAAGCGAGCUGUGCAAUGCAUCUUUUGAUCGUUAGGGUAUUCAGAGAAAUCUCCAUGGACAAGGAUUCUUAGUAGAGACUCCUUGGCAGAACCAAUGAUAUCCAUUAGAGACAUUAAUGCUUCCCCAGUAGAAGCCAUGACUAUUGGGAGCUUGUUAAACUCCAGGACACUGAUUUCCAUCUUCACAUUUAUCUUCCUUUCGAUUUCCGGCAAACACCUAGAUAUCAUCAUUCCCUGGAUCUGCGUCAGCUUCUGAGCUAAGACGGGGAUACCCACAAUCUCAUCAUUGAUCAUUGAAAGCAUCGGGUGGGUCCUGAAAAGUAACUCUUCUUGCAUUCGAGCUUCUUCAUAGGUUUCCUCCCCUAUCCGGUUUCUAACACAGACAUAACCAAGUCCGAUACUCACAUCAUCUGCAGUUACUUUCUGGAGAAGCCCUUCAGGAGCCAUGUCAGCCUUUGUGACUACAGCCAGAGUCCGCUCACCGGUUUUGUCCACCUGUUUAGACAUUCUGAUGGAUUCACAAGUAGUGAAAUCAACUGUCGCUGACAGAACAUUGAGAACACGGGUUAUUCCAGGGAGAUCAACCAUAGUAAUAUCUGGAACACCAGCCUUCUUCACAUGGAGCGUAAGGGGUGUGUCUGAAACCCCUUUGCCAGAUCCUGCAACACAGUAUUCACAAGUACUAAUCAAAAUCAAGACUUCAACUGAGGCUUGGAAGCUUAAACCAAACAUAUUUAACAGUAUGGAAGGAAUAGAGGCAAAACAUACCAGCUAUCACGUCUGUAGCUGCACAAAUAGUUUGAGCAAUGUGUUCCUCAUCUGUAGGAACAAUUUUGUCACCGUACUCCAGCCAGAUCUCAGGUUCAGGGCUUCGACUUCUCUGGAGCCUCAUGACAAGAGGAACUCUAGUGCAGAUUCCUUGCCCACGUGGCAAACUGAUUCCUGCCAACGACUCGAGGACACUCGACUUCCCCGAGGACUGGUCUCCAACCACAACAAUGGUAGGAAGCUGAAUCCCUUCUUGCAUCACAUUCAAGUUCCUGAGCUUGUCCACAGUGUCAAGCAACGGCCUGAUGUGGUCAUUGUAAGAUGAUACAAUUGGUGCUUCUGUGGGAACAACAUCUUUGUGGGGGUGAGGAUUCGCCUGGACAAUUGCCAGAGAAGGAGUGGUACUAGUGACAUCAUGCUUGUUACUACGUCCCAUUUUGUUGCUUGAGGAGACAAUACAAGAGUAGAAUAGAAUGAGAUAGAGAAUAGAAGUAAGUGAGAUAAGCGUAGUUGAGAUUUAUCAAAGAGAUAUGCAAAUAUAUAUACUGAGAUAUUUGAAGGGCUUUGUGUUUAUGAGCACUAUACUACAGAAGCAGACGUUUGACAUGAAAUGACGUAAGUAAAAAGCAUAUUGGAACUGAACAAAGCUAAUUAAUUAAGUUCAUGAUUACACCUAUUACCUAUAGAUAUUAG
RNAcentral lists this long non-coding RNA (2493 nucleotides) under Arabidopsis thaliana (thale cress). RNAcentral describes it as "ncRNA (AT1G60545)". The record is from RNAcentral. Lineage: Eukaryota; Viridiplantae; Streptophyta; Magnoliopsida; Brassicales; Brassicaceae.